CGACCGGCGCACGGGUGAGUAACACGUAUGCAACCUGGCCGUCACAGGUGGAUAACCGGAAGAAAUUCCGACUAAUACAGCAUAACACUCCUGAGGGACAUCCUUCGGGAGUCAAAGGAGGCAACUCCGGUGACGGAUGGGCAUGCGGCGCAUUAGGUAGUUGGUGGGGCAACGGCCCACCAAGCCGACGAUGCGUAGGGGUUCUGAGAGGAAGGUCCCCCACAUUGGAACUGAGACACGGUCCAAACUCCUACGGAAGGCAGCAG
This 266-nucleotide ribosomal RNA is filed under the name uncultured bacterium. Its description in RNAcentral is "partial 16S ribosomal RNA". It matches the Rfam family "Bacterial small subunit ribosomal RNA", at positions 92 to 354 of the family's 1533-position model. The record is from RNAcentral.